This 253-nucleotide ribosomal RNA is filed under the name uncultured bacterium. RNAcentral's name for it is "partial 16S ribosomal RNA". It matches the Rfam family "Bacterial small subunit ribosomal RNA", at positions 524 to 776 of the family's 1533-position model. The record is from RNAcentral.
UACAGAGGGUGCGAGCGUUAAUCGGAAUUACUGGGCGUAAAGCGUGCGUAGACGGUUAUUUAAGUCGGGUGUGAAAGCCCCGGGCUCAACCUGGGAAUUGCAUUCGAGACUGAAUAGCUAGGGUACGGUAGAGGGAAGCGGAAUUUCCGGUGUAGCGGUGAAAUGCGUAGAUAUCGGAAGGAGCAUCAGUGGCGAAAGCGGCUUCCUGGACCAGUACCGACGUUCAGGCACGAAAGCGUGGGGAGCAAACAGG